GCAGGGUUAGUACAUCGGUAGUAUGCGAGCUUCCCAAGCUUGAGAGGCGGGUUCGAUUCCCGUACUCUGCU
RNAcentral lists this transfer RNA (71 nucleotides) under Lachnospiraceae bacterium. RNAcentral's name for it is "tRNA-Gly". It matches the Rfam family "tRNA". Rfam says of the family: Transfer RNA (tRNA) molecules are approximately 80 nucleotides in length. The record is from RNAcentral. Lineage: Bacteria; Bacillati; Bacillota; Clostridia; Lachnospirales; Lachnospiraceae.